This is an unclassified non-coding RNA of Pongo abelii (Sumatran orangutan), 148 nucleotides long. It matches the Rfam family "Metazoan signal recognition particle RNA". From Rfam's summary of the family: The signal recognition particle (SRP) is a universally conserved ribonucleoprotein. The record is from Ensembl. NCBI's taxonomy places the organism in Eukaryota, Metazoa, Chordata, Mammalia, Primates, Hominidae.
GCCAGGCAUGGUGGUGCAUGCCUGUAGUCCUAGCUACUAGGGAGGCUGAGGUAGGAGGAUCACUUUAGCCCAGGAGUUCAAGGCUGCAUUGAGCUGUGAUCAUGCCAUUGCACUCUAGCCUGGGUAACAGGGCAAGACCCUGCCUCUA